UGUGAGGUGACCGAGUGACUAGGUGUUAGUUUGUAAAACUAGUUAGGAAGAUUAAAAUUCUUCCCGCACAA
RNAcentral lists this transfer RNA (71 nucleotides) under Ophiopholis mirabilis. RNAcentral's name for it is "tRNA-Tyr". It matches the Rfam family "tRNA". Rfam says of the family: Transfer RNA (tRNA) molecules are approximately 80 nucleotides in length. Lineage: Eukaryota; Metazoa; Echinodermata; Ophiuroidea; Amphilepidida; Ophiactidae. The record is from RNAcentral.